UACAACAUUAACAAAAUGAAUAAUAAUGAAUUUGAAUAUAAUUAUCAUACAGGUAGAUAUGUAUUUGUUUAUGAUUGUUUGACAAAAUUAGAUUAUUAUUAUAAAGACUUUGAUAGUUUUUUAAAAAUAAAUCAGUUGGUAUCUUUUGAAGAAGGUGUAUAUAUGAAUGCGACAAAAAGUGACAAAUUUAUUGAAUACUCUUCAAUAAAGACCGAAUCAGACGCGAUGUACAAAACUGAAAAAAAAUGUACAGAUGAUACAUUUAACAAGAACAUAAAUAACGAACGUGUACUUGCAUGCAUUAUUACUAGUGAUUAUAAAUCAAAUGAGAUAAAAGGAAAAGAACGUAAAAAACAUAAAUUCAGAAUAUUAUUAUUUCAUGAUGAUAGUAUAACUAAAAACAAAAAUUUUAUUAACGUAAAAUUUAUGAUAAAUGUAAACUACUUUGAUUAUAAUAAGAUUAUUAAAAUUGAUUCUGAGUUUAUAAUACAUACGUUUGACUUUGUCCUUAUUAGUGAAAGGAAUUUAAUGAUUGCUGUGUUUAAGUAUAUGCAAAAAAAAAUAAAAGAAAAUAAGGAUGCAUAUGUAGUUGUAACGGAUUGUGAUAGGUCUAAUAUGAUCAGUACAUCUAUUGUAUAUAACAGUCCCACGAUAUCAACAUGUGAAAUAACCAAUGCUACAGAUACUGAUGCAUUCUGUGGAGAUGACACAUGGCAAUCAUUAGAACAGCAAAAAUCAAAGGAAUUACAAGAUUGGAACGAAAAUAUGAUAAAUGAUUUUGUAGACAUAAUGUUAAAUGAAUUAGAUUUUGUAAAAAAUAGUAAAAAAAAAAAUAUAAUUUCUAUUGAAUCUGAAAAAUGUUCGAAAGUGACAAAUUCGAUAAAUAAGGACCCAAUUGAAGUGGAAGACAUUACACAAAUAAAUGAAAUUUUAAAACAGCCCAUAGAUAAUACAAUUUUAACAAAAUUAAAAAGUUAUAUAAAAGAGUGUGGGUUAUUGAUUAGUGAGACAACUGAAUUAUUUGAUAAUGAUGGUAAUGUAGAGAAUAGAAAAGGGCUAUUGGAUGAUAUAAGAAAAUCGGGCGAAACUAACCAAGAGAGUGCAACCAACCGAAUUGGCGAAACAAAAAUCACACACGACUUCAAAAACAGCUACAAAAAUGUCGAUUAUAAUAAAAACACAAAUGAUGAAAAGGAUGUAAACAAAAUGAUUAAUAAAAAAAUGGAAAAAAUGAGCUGGAUACAUGAACUGGUAAGUUGUCUGACUAAUAAUAUAGAUUAUAAUUUUGUUGAAUUUGUAAAGAAAAAUAAAUUGGAGUUAAGUUAUGAUUUUACAAACACAACACAGUUUGUGAAGGGAAAGACAGAUAUAGAAAACAGUAACAACCAAAAUGAAAGGUAUGAAAAGAAGAAAUGUGAAAGUGUUUGCAAUGUAGAUAAAAAGUAUUACUACGAGUUAAGUGAAAAUAAAGAUAUAAUAUAUAUAAUAAUAAAUAACAAAAAUAAAUACGAUUUGGAUAUAUAUAUAAAUUCUACUAUUGAAUCGGAGGAAAGUGUAACUUAUAUGUUCAAUAGUUGUAUAAAUAGCUUAAUUAAAGAAAAGAAAUGGGAUGGAGUUGAGAAUUUUGUUAAAGAAUAUAAAAAACUGUAUUACGAUUUGAAUAAAAAACAAUUUAAUAUGCCAGAUUUUGAUAAAAUAGAAAAUUUUAAUUGGUCGAAAUUGAAACAUUUAUAUUUUAAAUAUAAAAAUAAAGGAAUAGAUAAUUAUUAUAAUUAUUUAUAUAAAAUAGUAACCGAAAAAAGUGAAUAUUGUUUAGGUUUAAAAAAACAUUUUUAUUUGGAUUUUUUUUUAUUUGAAUAUAUGGUUAGUUCAAUGAAAAGUGCAUUUAUUAAAGUUUUUUUGUAUGCAGAUAAUAUUAACAUAUAUCAAGAUAUGAUUAGUUUCGAUUUAAAUAAGAGUGAACGUGUAUGUAAUUUGUCUGUUAGUUCAUAUAUAAAAUCGUUGCAUUUAGUUAGUCAACAUAAGGUUAUGCAAAAUGGUAGCAAAUGUAUUUAUAUUAAUUUGAUUUUUGUAAAUAAAAAGAUAUUAAAAAAUUAUAAACAGUUGAUAAAAAACCAAGAUGAUCGAUCAGGUAGUACUAAUAAAGAUGGCACAGUUGAAACAGAUUCCGAAGUCGAAAAAGUAUAUAAAUGCUUUGAUGCGGUACUUAAACCUUAUGAAUUUAUUUUAUUCAACUCUUGCGAAAUAAAAAAAAAAUUAAUUUUUAACUUUCAUAAAAUCGCUUAUUUUUUAAAUA
Piliocolobus tephrosceles (Ugandan red Colobus) is the source of this 2296-nucleotide long non-coding RNA. Lineage: Eukaryota; Metazoa; Chordata; Mammalia; Primates; Cercopithecidae. The record is from Ensembl.